UCCUGGUUAGCUCAGUUGGUAGAGCGAUCCACUGGAAAUGGCGAAGUCCCUGGUGCGAUACCAGGAUCAAGCG
Molecule: transfer RNA, 73 nt
Filed under: Ixodes scapularis (black-legged tick)
Lineage: Eukaryota; Metazoa; Arthropoda; Arachnida; Ixodida; Ixodidae
Rfam family: tRNA
About the family: Transfer RNA (tRNA) molecules are approximately 80 nucleotides in length. Their secondary structure includes four short double-helical elements and three loops (D, anti-codon, and T loops).
Source: Rfam by way of RNAcentral